AAGUCGUAACAAGGUACCGUAGGUGAACCUGCGGUUGGAUCAUUACUAAAUGAUAAAUUUAUAGGCUUGAUGCUUUUACAGCUCGUCUAUAAAUUUUUUCAACCAUUUGUGAAUUUUGUGACUGUAAUUUGGGUCUUACUCUUGGGUAGACUCGAACAUUUUUGUAAACCAUUUUUAUUUUGUAGCCUGAUUUCUAAGUUAAAUGAAUAACAACUUUUGACAACGGAUCUCUUGGCUCUC
This 240-nucleotide unclassified non-coding RNA is filed under the name fungal sp. RNAcentral describes it as "partial internal transcribed spacer region". The record is from RNAcentral. Lineage: Eukaryota; Fungi.